RNAcentral lists this ribosomal RNA (378 nucleotides) under uncultured eukaryote. RNAcentral's name for it is "partial 18S ribosomal RNA". It matches the Rfam family "Eukaryotic small subunit ribosomal RNA", at positions 592 to 975 of the family's 1831-position model. The record is from RNAcentral.
CAAUAGCGUAUAUUAAAGUUGUUGCAGUUAAAAAGCUCGUAGUUGAACUUCAGACCUGGCCGGGCGGUCUGCCUAACGGUAUGUACUGUCUGGCUGGGUCUUACCUCUUGGUGAGCCGGCAUGCCCUUCACUGGGUGUGUCGGGGAACCAGGACUUUUACCUUGAGAAAAUUAGAGUGUUCAAAGCAGGCCUAUGCCCGAAUACAUUAGCAUGGAAUAAUAAAAUAGGACGUGCGGUUCUAUUUUGUUGGUUUCUAGAGUCGCCGUAAUGAUUAAUAGGGAUAGUUGGGGGCAUUAGUAUUCAGUUGCUAGAGGUGAAAUUCUUGGAUUUACUGAAGACUAACUACUGCGAAAGCAUUUGCCAAGGAUGUUUUCAUUA